UCUAGAGUAUACCACCUCUUUACCAAUUUUGUCCAGCCCAUCUUGGUACGCCAGGAUGGCAGCAGUGACCUGCUCCUUUACAUCCCCGGGAAGAACCUGACCUGCAAUGGCAGAGAUGUUCAGGUUGACCUGGACCUCAAUCUCUUUGGCUCUGCGGAAUCCAAUGGAGUGAACCUUGCCCUG
This 183-nucleotide non-coding RNA is filed under the name Pseudomonas phage PAK_P3. The record is from RNAcentral. RNAcentral also lists the same sequence under 1 other name. Lineage: Duplodnaviria; Heunggongvirae; Uroviricota; Caudoviricetes; Vandenendeviridae.